UCCUAUGACCUCACUCUCAGGAAGUGCCUUCCUUCCUGUCUGUUCAUCUCUGCAAAAUAUUCCUAGCAUGAUGCUGCCAUCUGAUAUACAAUCCCAGCACCCACACACUUUUCCCCAAAGGAAAACAAUGCUGUAUCUCAUCUGGUCCCUGCUCCCAGCUGCAGGUCCAUCUGGAAGUUCCAGGUUCAAUAAGCAAAUAGGCACUAGGACCAAGUCUUAAGACAGCCAUUCCAGCUCCACGGGUUACAGUUGAACCAGUUGCUUCACUAUUGCAUAUUGGCUGAGAUGGUGCUGGAAAAAACAUUGGAAAAAUAAAAACACAAAGGUCACUGGUUUCAUCUCCAAUGGCAAGGACAGAUAUCAACCAAAUAAAAAUAGCGUUAAGUUUAUAGUUGCAAACUAGAGUGAAUUUCUUCAAGGCAAAGAACAUAGUUCUAUGGGAGCCAGUGAUGGAGGAAUCUAUGAUGGAGAAGAUCGUAGGAAGAGUGACAGUGAUGUGUCAUUUCAGAUGUAAAGGAAG
This is a non-coding RNA of Oryctolagus cuniculus (rabbit), 520 nucleotides long. The record is from RefSeq and is a predicted model, not a curated record. NCBI's taxonomy places the organism in Eukaryota, Metazoa, Chordata, Mammalia, Lagomorpha, Leporidae.